ACGGAGGCGUAGCGUAAAAGCGAUACGCUGCGCCGCCGUAUCAGUGCGCGCCCCUACCUGAAUCUGGGCCAUUGUCAGCUUAGAUUACUUGUAGCAAUAUCUCAUGAACAAAAUGAAGGAAAAGUAAACUGUUUUCCAUUUGAGGACCUUGAGUAAGCCCCAAAACAAUGUCAUCUACUUAGGGCAUACACCAUACACCCUGAUCCCACUAUGCUUCUAUUUUCUGCAAAUCAUGGCUGUCAAAAUGACAACCAGGACUUCCUUUGUGCCGCAACAGCAGAUGCAGAUGCUGCUGUGUCGACGUUGGCUUCUAAAGAGUGUUCACAAGUUCAAUGUGAUUUAUGACACAACAUCAUUUAUUCAUACUCUGUUUUACUCAUGUGAAGAAGAAUAAAGUAAUUAAAGACUAAUCAACAGUUGUCAUGAUGAACAGGUGUGACCAGAACUGUGUGAACUGCGACAGAGGAAACCAAACGUAUAUAAAGUGAAUAAUAAUUAAGUUUAUUAACGAUAAGUGAUAUAAAUAUACAAACACCUCCAACACUAAACAGUGAACAACCAACCAGACAGUGACCCACACAUAACAAACAACUAUAUACAAUGAAAGGGGAGUACCAGAAUCAUAAACGUAGCCAGUCCAGGAGAUCAGCAGAUGGGGGCAAGGAACAGGACAGGACAGGGAGAAGGUGGACGGGAUCAGGCUGCAGGGCAGGGAUGCAGGCUAACAGGAGGGAUGGGAUCAGAAUCAGGUUCAGGUAACAGGAGGAUCAGGAUCAGAUUCAUACGAUAACAGGUUCAGGUCAGGGCGCAAGGAAGAUACCAGGGCAAGUGUGUGAAUGCUUGCUGAGUAUAAAUACACAGCCUCAGUUGAAGCUUGAUCGCAGGGGAUAUUGUUGGCUCCAUACUGGCAGGAGACACCCGCUGGUGGACAUUGGUACUGCGGCCCAAGGAUCGAACAGUGCCACCAGCAGGUGAAACCUUUCCUGACACCAGUAUUGCCUUUGGUCUCCCUGAAGCUGAUAUUUCCCCAAUAAUGACUUACCAACCAUGUCUUGUUCUGCACUGUGUCUCUAAGUGGAGCCAGACAUUUUGGUAGUUGUGGGGUUUUAAUUCCUCACGUCAGAGCAUCCAGCAAGGAGAACAGUGAGAAACACAGUAGUGACAUCACCAAAUCAGAUCAAAUUAAAAUCUGCUCCUUUUACCUUCCAAAACCUAUAAAAAUAAAAAAAUAACUGAUAAUACCUUUUCCUUUGUACAAUUCUUUGACUAAAAGUCAAGUGUGAGUUGGAGAAGAAUACAGCAAAGCCGGUUUUGUGUGUUGACACACUAUCGCUCGUUUGACCCAUUUAGUAUGAACUGAAUAGGGUCCAUACGUUCUGGUAAGCCUUCUUAUAUUCCAUUCGGUGGCAGGAGUCUUCCUUUUUUUCACAGUGGUGAUUAUUUUUGUUUUACUUCUGGGUGACAGAUCAUCAUUAUCUGUAAUCACAAAUGUAUGGACUUAUUUAUAUGAACUAUAUAACAUUUCUAUUAUUGUGUUAUUCACUAUAUAAAAGUUUUUUUAUUGUGUCAUUCACCUUUUCACAAUAUUGUUUAGUUAAUAGUUUGCCAUAUUUAUUGAUUGUAUAUUUCUAUGUUUAGCACUGCACUUGUUAUAUUUAUAAUUUUUGCACAAGUUUGUCUCUUGUAGUGCUUUAAUUUUAGUUUUGAAUGCUAAGCGCGGUUUUACACUAUAUACUAUGAAAAGCAGUUGACUUGCACUGCGCAUUAAAAGUAUACACUGCGGGGGUGUCAAACUCAAUUUCAUCACAGGCCUCAUCAGCAGUCUGUAAGAAUUUAUACAUGUGUCUACCCUUUAUUAUAUUAAAUGAUUGCCUCUG
Molecule: long non-coding RNA, 1877 nt
Organism: Rana temporaria (common frog)
Lineage: Eukaryota; Metazoa; Chordata; Amphibia; Anura; Ranidae
Exons: 2
Source: RefSeq, a predicted model, not a curated record